CCUACGGGUGGCAGCAGUGAGGAAUAUUGGUCAAUGGGCGGGAGCCUGAACCAGCCAAGUCGCGUGAGGGAAGACGGUCCUACGGAUUGUAAACCUCUUUUGCCGGGGAGCAACGGGGUCCUUGCGAGGGCCCGAUGAGAGUACCCGGAGAAAAAGCAUCGGCUAACUCCGUGCCAGCAGCCGCGGUAAUACGGAGGAUGCGAGCGUUAUCCGGAUUUAUUGGGUUUAAAGGGUGCGUAGGCGGGCGUUCAAGUCAGCUGUAAAAUCGCGCGGCUCAACCGCGCCCCGCAGUUGAAACUGGACGCCUUGAGUUCACAACAGGCAGGCGGAAUUCGUGGUGUAGCGGUGAAAUGCAUAGAUAUCACGAGGAACCCCGAUUGCGAAGGCAGCCUGCCGGGGUGCGACUGACGCUGAGGCUCGAAGGUGCGGGUAUCAAACAGGAUUAGAUACCCUUGUAGUC
RNAcentral lists this ribosomal RNA (460 nucleotides) under uncultured bacterium. RNAcentral's name for it is "partial 16S ribosomal RNA". It matches the Rfam family "Bacterial small subunit ribosomal RNA", at positions 338 to 795 of the family's 1533-position model. The record is from RNAcentral.